This is a small nuclear RNA of Sarcophilus harrisii (Tasmanian devil), 106 nucleotides long. NCBI's taxonomy places the organism in Eukaryota, Metazoa, Chordata, Mammalia, Dasyuromorphia, Dasyuridae. The record is from Ensembl.
GUGCUUGCUUUGGUAGCACAUAUACUAAAAUUGGAACAAUACAGAGAAAAUUAGCAUGACCCCUGAAGAAAGAGGUAUGCAAAUUCAUGAAGCAUUCCAUAUUUUU